RNAcentral lists this transfer RNA (70 nucleotides) under Stichophthalma louisa. RNAcentral describes it as "tRNA-His". Lineage: Eukaryota; Metazoa; Arthropoda; Insecta; Lepidoptera; Nymphalidae. The record is from RNAcentral.
AAAUUAAAAAGGAAAUUACGAAAUUUUUGUGCCCACAACCCAAUUUUUUAUUUAAAUUUUUUAAAAAAAU